UAGCUAAAGCCCAAAGCCAGAGAAAAAUCGAGGCAGAGAACCUUCCAUCCCACACUAUAAAACAGCACCUUCACUCUCCAAUUUUCUCAUCACACUUAGCAAACUCAUUCAUAUCAAAUCUUCAUUUCUCUUCCAUUUCUCCAAAUUCCAAGAGGUAAUCAUGGGUGUGAUCACUUACGAUGUAGAGACCCCUUCCUCCAUCCCGGCCGGGAAGCUCUUCAAGGCCCUGGUGAUCGACUCCGACACCCUCAUCCCCAAGAUCCUGCCUCAGGCCAUCAAGAACGUCGAGAUCUUGGAAGGAGACGGCGGCGCCGGCACCGUCAAGAUCAUUCAUUUUGGCGAAGGGAGUCAGUAUAAGAGCGUCAAGCACCGUGUGGAGGCCAUCGACAAGGAGAACUUCACCUACACCUACACCAUCAAUGAAGGUGAUGUUCUCGCAGAUGUCAUUGAAUCCAUCACUUACCAUAUCAAGGUCGUCCCAACCGAAGAUGGAGGAAGCAUCUGCAAGAACAGGAGCAUUUACAACACCAAGGGUGAUGCUGUGAUUGAUGAGGAGAAGAUCAAGGAGGGGAAAGACAAGGCCCAACAUAUGUUCAAGGCCAAUGAGGCUUACAUCACCGCCAACCCCGACUACUGAAAGAGACGAGGCUUCAUAUAUCAAUGAUGUCAUUUUAUAUAUAUACGUGGUUUCUGAUAUGAGAUAAUUGGUGUGCGAGAGACUAUGUAUAGGCUUAAUUGCCUAGAGUGAUAUCGAUUUACUUUGUGUGAUUUUUGAAUUUGUGUUGAGUGAAUAUUAUUGUAUUGAAUUUGUGUUGCACUAAAUAAAGAAGCAUAGUUUUUUUUUUUUUUUUUUGAAUUAAUAAAGAAGCAUAGUUAAUUGCAAGUUUGGUGGUCGUGGGAUUAAUAUUUUUAUUGUUCUCUUGUGGUUGUUUUGUUUCUUUAUUUAGGGGUAACUAAUAUAUCCAUAUAUUUCAGAUUAGCAUAUGAACAUAAAUUUCACCUCAAAAUACAAGAACUUUCAUUUUUUAUUUUUUAUUUUUUUCUUUCUAACUUUGCACCUGAUAAAUAAUUUAACGUUGAAAACUGAGGAAGAUGUUGGAAUUAAUCUAUGUAUGCAUAGAGUUUUGAUAUAUAUUUUUAAUGAAUGAAUACUGAGGUAGAAGUCAGAAUUAUCUUUACAUGCAACGAAUUUUUUUUAUAAACAACAUAGUUAGACUAGUAAUGAAAUAUUGUCGUUUCAUCAUAAAAUAAGUCCUAUAUUUUUAGAUGAUCAUUUAAAGCAUUUUUUUUUUUGCAAUUUAAGACUAAGAGCAGUGGCGGAUCCAGGGGGGGCUAGGGGGGGCUUCAGCCCCCUCCCAAUUUUUGAGUUUUUUUUUUUAAAUUAUAGAUAUAUAUUUAUUAUUUUGUUUUAUAUCUAUAUAUAUGUGUAUAUAAAUAAAAAAAUACAAGAAAAAAUAUAGUAAUACAUUAUUUAUAGUAUCCAACUAUCCAUAUUAAUUGCUCAACACAUUGAGUUGUUACAUUUAUAGUAUUAUUUUUAUCAUUUUUUCUUUCUUAGUUAAUUUUUAAUGUUAAAUUUGAGUCAAUUCUAAAGGUAAAAGUAAAAUUACUAAUUACUAACAAUGAAAAUUAGUUUAUUUGUUUAGAAGAUGAAACAAUUUUUUUUUAAGAAAAAUGAAUAAAAGUACGUUUUUAUAUGCUUUCAAUCUACUUGAUGUUGAAUUAAUUGAAUUGCGAACAAUUAUCUUAUUAUAUUAAGUGAUUGUUGAAAAAAUGUAUGAAAUGAAGUGUACGGAAUGCUCAAAAAAAUUUGCUUCGGGGGCUCCCGCCCCCGAACCCCCGUGUAAAUAUUUUCAAGCACCGUAGUCCAAUAGAUUCAGCCCCCCCUAACAUUGAAUCCUGGAUCCGCCCCUGACUAAGAGGGUUGUGAGUUCACGAUCAAGGCCGUACUUCAUUAUUCGUGAUUCAUGAUUUUGAAUUCGUUGUUCGGGUCCAAUAUUUAGGUUCACAUAAUUAGGUCUUCGAGUUGUGUGUUUGUAAUUGAAUCCGUUGAAAAUAUUUUUAAUUUGUGUGCAAGAUUAGGGGGAAAAAAAUGAAAUUUUAUAUAUUUGGAAAUAUGAUUUAUAGCUCAUGUGCAAAAUAAAAAAAUAUAUAAAUUUUUUUAAGAUGCUAUUACCACUUUUAUUUAUUUUCGAGUUGAGUUCAAAAUCAUAAUUAAGGAAGACUGAUAAAAUCUAGAGGUCAAUCGUUUAGGUUGCUCACUGACAAUGAAAUGUGCAAAAUUAAUAUAAAAAUAGGCCAGUGAACCAUGUGGAUUGAAUCGGAGUCUUUUUUAGGUUCAUUUAUAUAGUUGGACAUAAAAGGGGAUAGAGGUUUAAUUCACUCAGUAUAAAAGUUGACGGUGAAUUUUAGACCAAUUAAUGAGAAACAAAUUUUUUAGAAAAUCAAGAAUUUAUGAAUAACUUUUAAUAAAAUAUCAUAUAUAUUUAUUUUCUUUAUCCAGUACUUGAUUUUUAUCCUGUGAUUAUUUAUUAGAUUGCUGAUCCAGUGACUUGAUUUUUAUUGUAUUGGAAAUUGAAUUAUAUAUUCUAGGGUAAAUUUAAUCUAAAACUAUAAUAAAUUUUUGUAAUAUUUUAUUUUUUUUCCAUAAUCUUUUAUUCUUGUUUCAUAAUCUAUUUGAAAUCUCUUGAUUUGAGUUUAGUCUGUAUCUCUGGGCCAAAACGUCAAAUUUGUAUAUGGCCCAAAGGCUUUUAAUGGGCUACAUAGUCAAAUGGGCCGAAUUUUUAGGUCGAGAGUCCAUUGGGUCAAAAUUGCAACUACAGAACGGAAUAUUCUAUUUAAGGAGAUUGGAGUACUUGGACGACGCUGGGGUCAAAAAUUAUUAAUGCGAAUUUUUUUCUAAAUAUUAGACUUUUAAUAAUACAGAGACGACUCUUUACAGAAAUGAAUAUUUUUUAAACAAAAUACUACUUAUAAUAUAUAGUUUAUCCUCGUAUCUUAAGUGACUUUAUUUGUAGGUAUUAUUGUUCGUUUUUUAGUUAAAUGCUUAUUAUGAUGUUUGUAAUUGCAAAAAAUUAAAAGGCAUUCGUAUGAAAAUUGUAUAUUCAGAAAAGAUGGGUUAUUAUUGUGUGAUCACAAUUCACAAGCUUGAGCAGACUUAUUCAAGGAGAUUUGCUGCUCAAAUUUGUGUUCACAUUUAUUGCCAAAUACAAUCAAGAGAAAGUGUAGACUAGUCUACCAUGGAGUGCUACGUACAACCAAUUUUGGUCUUAAAAUAAAUGCAAGUGUGAAUUUUUCUUCUUAUUCUGUUUCUAUAUAUAUAAUUGAAAUAGCUCUCAAUUGACCCUACAAGAAUGCUUCAACUUGUGAUGUCAAAGCAAUUAUAGUAAAGACUGUGAAGUAAUAUAAAAAUACGAUUAACUUACAUCAUUCGGGAAAUUUUCUAUGCAUUUUCUUGACAUGUUUCACAUGCAUGCCACAAGGUGAAGCAAAAAACAUAUGACUUCUUAUUCAUUUUAAUUUAAUACUAAGUUAAAGUUAACUUAAAUCAAUAUCAUGAUUUGGCAUUGACGAACUCAUGCAGCUUAUAAAAUAUCAAGCAUAAUGAUUAGAUAAAAAUCGUCAUACUCGAGUGGUAAAAAAGAAAGAUACAGAUCCUUUUGGGACGGCUAAUGGUAAAGUGAAUAUAAACGUGGUUUAAGUCUGUUAUAUAGACCUAUUUUUUUAAAAUGAGAUUUGCAGAUUUCACAGAAACAUAGAUUUAUCAAAUAAUACGACUUGUCACACAUAGUUUUUGAUGUAUGAUUUGUCUGUAUCGAAUCUUAAUAUCAUAAUGAAUAGUUUUUUUUUUCACAUUUUUUCACUAUUUUCAAUACUAAUUACAAUACAUUUUCACCACUUUCAAUACUAAUUACUCCCUCCGUCCCGGUCAAAGUGGUGCACUUCUUUUGGGCACGGGAUUUAAAGAGAAUAAGAUUGUAGUGUAAAAGUGUGUAAAUGUGUGUGGGGCCAUAUUUUUUGUAGUGUAAAAUUAUUACCAAAAAAGGAAAUGCACCACUUUCGGUGGGACAGCCCAAAAAAGAAUACGCACUACUUUCGGUGGGAUGGAGGAAGUAUAAUAUUUUUCACUAUUUACAAUAUACUCAACAAUUUUGUAUUAAAAUUCGUACCCCUUAGGAAGUUAUUUGGGGGUCGGUAGAGGAUAAUGCCAUGUUCUAUGACACCCCAAAAUAUCAUCGAUUAUUAAAUCAAUCCAUAAAUGCACCAUGAAUAAUUAUGUCUACAUUCAACGAGAUGGGGCUAGCUAAAGCCCAAAGCCAGAGAAAAAUCGAGGCAGAGAACCUUCCAUCCCACACUAUAAAAUAGCACCUUCACACUCUCCAAUUUUCCCAUCACACUUAGCUAAUCUCAUUCAUAUCAAAUCUUCACUUCUCUUCCAUUUCUUCAAAUUAAAAAAAAAAGGGAAUCAUGGGUGCGAUCACUUAUGAUGUAGAGACCCCUUCCUCCAUCCCGGCCGGGAAGCUCUUCAAGGCCCUGGUGAUCGACUCCGACACCCUCCUCCCCAAGAUCCUGCCUCAGGCCAUCAAGAACGUCGAGAUCUUGGAAGGAGACGGCGGCGCCGGCACCGUCAAGAUCAUUCAUUUUGGCGAAGGGAGUCAGUAUAAGAGCGUCAAGCAUCGUGUCGAGGCCAUCGACAAGGACAACUUCACCUACACGUACAGCAUCCUUGAAGGUGAUGUUCUCUCAGAUGCCAUUGAAUCCAUCACUUACCAUAUCAAGGUCGUCCCAACCGAAGAUGGAGGAAGCAUCUGCAAGAACAGGAGCAUUUACAACACCAAGGGUGAUGCUGUGAUUGAUGAGGAGAAGAUCAAGGAGGGGAAAGACAAGGCCCAACAUAUGUUCAAGGCCAUUGAAGCUUACAUCACCGCCAACCCCGACUACUGAACGAGACGAGGCUUCGUAUAUCAAUGAUGUCAUUCUAUAUACGUGGUAUCUCUGAUGCGAGAGGAUCGGUGUGCGAGAGACUAUCUAUAGGCUUAAUUGCCUAGAGUGAUAUUGAUUUACUUUGUGUGGUUUUUGUAUUUGUGUUGAGUGAAUAUUACUGUAUUGAAUUUGUGUUGCACUAAAUAAAGAAGCAUAAUUAAUGUUGCAAGUUUGGUGGUAGUGGGAACAUUUUUAUUUUUCUCGUGGUUGUCUUGUUAUUUUAUUUAAGUGUAAUUAAUAACCGUAUAUUUCGGAUUACGCAUAUGAGUAUAAAUUAAAUUUCGUCUCAAAAUACAAUAACUUUUUUUUUUCUCUAGCUUUGCACCUGAUCAUAAAUAUUUUUGACGAAUAAAUAUUGAUAUAGAAGCCAAAGUUAUCUUUAUGUGCAACGAAAAUCUUCAUAAGCAAUAUAAUUUGAUUAGUAAUAAAAUAUUGUCGUUUCAUCAUAAAAUAAGUCUCAUAUUUUUAGAUGAUCAUUUAAGGCAUUAUUUUUCACAAUUUAAAAUUAAAGGGCUGCGAGUUCACGAUUGAUUCAUGAUUUUGGUUCAUAUAUUUAGGGCUUCGAGUCGUGGAUUCGUGAUUGAGUUGUGAAUGUUUGAAAAUAUCUUUAAUAUGCUUUGGAAAAAAAAAUUAUAUAUUUGGAGACAUGACUUAUGGCUCAUGUGCGAAAUAGAUAAAUGUUAUAAAAUUUUGUAUUUUAGAUACUAUAACCACUUUUAUUUAUUUUCGAGUUUGAGUUCAAAAUAUUACUCCCUCCGUCCCAAUAAAAGUGGCCACAUUUCCUUUUUGGGUGUCCCAUUAAAAGUGGCUACUUUCUAAAAAUGGCAAAAGUUUACUUUAAUUAAGUCAACAAUUACUCACUAAUUUGGUCAACAAUUGUAGGCCAUUUUCUAAAAAUGUCAAAAUUACUUACUAAUUUGGUCAACAAUUGUAGGCCACUUUCUAAAAAUUACUCACUAAUUUUGGUGGGUCACACUCAAUUAAAACAUAACAAUUCCCUUCUUAAUCUCCGUACCUAAAAAAAAGUGGUCAUUUUUAUUGGGACGGAGGGAGUAAUAAUUAAGGAAGACUAAUGAAUCUAGAGGUCAAUAUAUCGUUUAGGUUGCUCACUGACAAUGAAAUGAGUAAAAUUAAUAUAAAAAUAGGCACCAUGUGGAUUAAAUCGGAGUCUUUUUCAGGUUUAUUUAUUUNUUAGGUUAUUUAGUUUAGUUGGACAUAAAAGGGGUUGGGAGGUUUAAUUCACUCAUUAUAAAAAUUGACGGUGAAUUUUGGACCAAUUAAAGAGAAACAAUCUUUAGUUAUAUCAACUCUUAUUAUAUUUACGGAGACUAUUUAUAGAAAAUUCAAGAAUUUAUGAAUAACUUUUAAUAAAUUAAAUAUCCUUUAUACAUUUAUUUUCUUUAUCCAGUGACUAUUUAUUGGAUUGCUUAUCCAGUGACUUGAUUUUUAUUGUAUUGGAUAUUGAAUUAUUAUAGGGGUAAUUUUGACAUCUCGCCGGGGAUUUUUUAGACAAAACUUUAAAAUAAAAAAGUGCAAAUAAAAGUUACUAAUGCGAAAAAUAUUCUAAAUAUUAGACUUUUAAUAAUAUAGAGACUCUUUAACUCUUUACAGAAAUUAAUAUUUUUUAAACAAAAGAUACUAAUAAUAGAUUGUUUAUCCCCGUAUCUUAUAAAGUGACUAGAUUUGUACGUAGGUAUUAUUGUUCGUUUUUGAGUCAAAUGCUUAUUAUGCUGGUUUUAAAAGGCAGUACUGUAAUUACCAUGCAUAUUUUAAUAUUCGUAAGAAAAUUGUUAAGAAAGAUGGGUUAUUGUGUGAUCACAAGCUUGAGCAGACUUAUUCAAGGAUAUUUGCUGCUCAAAAUUUGUGUUCGCAUUGUCUUGCCAAAUACAUACAAGAGAAAGUGUAGACUAGUCUACCAUGGAGUGCUACAACCAAUAUUUGGUCUCAAAAUAAAUGCAAGUGUGAAUUUUUCUUCUUAUUCAGUUUCGAUAAUUGAAAUACCUCUCAAUUGACCCUACAAGAAUGCUUCAACUUGUGAUGUCAAAUCAAUUAUAGGUAAUAAAGACCGUGAAGUAAUAUCAAUAUAUGAUUAACUUACAUAGUUACAUAAAUCUAACAGAAAAAAAAACAAGAAGAAAAGUCCACAACGAGGCACUAACUAAUUUUGUAAAUGAUACUCUCUUCGUCCUCUAAAUAACUUCAUAUCUGUCCCCAAGGGGACACCAAGCGGUGCGAAUAGUGAAUAAAAAAUAAAAUAAAAAAUAAUUAUGUGAAUAGUGAGGUCUCGGGUUCAAACUCCACUGCCCCCCUCCCCAACACCCCCAUGUAAAAAAAUAAAAAAUAAUAAUAACUUCAUAUCUUUUUUUUAGGUUGUCUCCCAAAUAAUUUACUAGUACUUUAUUUUAGGACACUAUCCCAACUUUUCAUAAUACUUCAUUUAUUCUUUUUUUUUUCACCACUCUCAAUACUAAUUACAACACCUUUUCAUCUUUUAUUAUUAUUAUUAUUAUUAUUAUUAUUAUUAUUAUUAUUAUUAUUAUUAUUAUUAUUAUUAUUAUUAUUAUUAUGCACUCAAUAAUUUUAUCUUAAAAUCAAUGGGCCCCCUCAAAAGAUUAUUUGGAGGAUGGAGGGAGCAUAAUGCCAUGUUAUAUGACACCACAAAUAUCAUCAAUUAUUAAAUUCAAACCAUAAUUAAUGCAUCACGAAUAAUUGAGUUGCCAUUCAACGAAAUGGGGCUAAAGCCCAAAGCCAAAGAAAAGUCGAGGUAGAGAACCUUCCAUCCCACACUAUAAAAUAGCACCUCACACUCUCCAAUUUUCCCAUCACACUUAGCUAAUCUCAUUCAUAUAUAUCAAUCACUAAUCAAUCUUCACUUCUCCUCCAUUACUCCAAUUUUUUAAAAAAGAGAAUCAUGGGUGCGAUCACUUAUGAUGUAGAGACCCCUUCCUCCAUCCCGGCCGGGAAGCUCUUCAAGGCCAUCGUGCUCGAGCCGACACCCUCAUCCCCAAGAUCUUGCCUCAGGCCAUCAAGAACGUCGAGAUCUUGGAAGGAGACGGCGGCGCGGCACCGUAAGAUCG
This 8060-nucleotide long non-coding RNA is filed under the name Salvia miltiorrhiza (redroot sage). RNAcentral describes it as "long non-coding RNA (SMIL_LNC009269)". The record is from RNAcentral. Lineage: Eukaryota; Viridiplantae; Streptophyta; Magnoliopsida; Lamiales; Lamiaceae.